Molecule: ribosomal RNA, 447 nt
Filed under: uncultured bacterium
Lineage: Bacteria
Description: bacterial SSU rRNA
Rfam family: Bacterial small subunit ribosomal RNA
Source: RNAcentral
GUCGAGAAUCUUCCGCAAUGGGCGAAAGCCUGACGGAGCGACACCGCGUGCAGGACGAAGGCCUUCGGGUUGUAAACUGCUGUCACGCUCUAGGAAUCCCGCGCUGUUAACAGCGGCGCGGUUGACUAAAGCGAGAGGAAGUGGCGGCUAACUCUGUGCCAGCAGCCGCGGUAAGACAGAGGCCACGAACGUUGUUCGGAAUCACUGGGCAUAAAGCGCACGUAGGCGGCCAGGUCCGUCCGAUGUGAAAGCCCCCGGCUCAACCGGGGAAUUGCAUCGGAUACCGCCUGGCUCGAGGAUGGUUGGGGUGAGUGGAACUCCUGGUGGAGCGGUGAAAUGCGUAGAUAUCAGGAGGAACACCGGUGGCGAAAGCGGCUCACUGGACCAUUACUGACGCUGAGGUGCGAAAGCUAGGGGAGCAAACGGGAUUAGAAACCCCUGUAGUCC